AUGGUUAAGUGACUAAGCGUACAGGGUGGAUGCCUAGGCAGUUAGAGGCGAUGAAGGACGUGCUAAUCUGCGAUAAGCAUUGGUGAGGUGAUAAGAACCGCUUGAGCCAAUGAUUUCCGAAUGGGGAAACCCACUGACAUAAGUCAGUAUCGUUACGUGAAUACAUAGCGUAACGAGGCGAACCGGGAGAACUGAAACAUCUAAGUACCCCGAGGAACAGAAAUCAAUUGAGAUUUCCUCAGUAGCGGCGAGCGAACGGGAAAGAGCCCAGUGUGUUUAUCAGCGGUUGGUAUAGUGGAAGGCUCUGGAAAGUGCCGCGAUACAGGGUGAUAGUCCCGUACAUGAAAUGCCAGCUGUUGUUGCACACGAUGAGUAGGUCGGGACACGUGGUAUCUUGACUGAAUAUGGGGGGACCAUCCUCCAAGGCUAAAUACUCCUAACUGACCGAUAGUGAACCAGUACCGUGAGGGAAAGGCGAAAAGAACCCCGGCGAGGGGAGUGAAAUAGAACCUGAAACCCUGUACGUACAAGCAGUAGGAGCACCUUCGUGGUGUGACUGCGUACCUUUUGUAUAAUGGGUCAGCGACUUAUAUUUUGUGGCGAGGUUAACCGAAUAGGGGAGCCGUAGGGAAACCGAGUCUUAACUGGGCGUCCAGUCGCAAGGUAUAGACCCGAAACCCGGUGAUCUAGUCAUGGGCAGGUUGAAGGUGCCGUAACAGGUACUGGAGGACCGAACCCACUACUGUUGCAAAAGUAGGGGAUGACCUGUGAUUAGGGGUGAAAGGCCAAUCAAACCGGGAGAUAGCUGGUUCUCCUCGAAAGCUAUUUAGGUAGCGCCUCGGACGAAUACCUUGGGGGGUAGAGCACUGUUUGGGCUAGGGGGUCAUCCCGACUUACCAAACCCAUGCAAACUCCGAAUACCCAAGAGUACUAUCCGGGAGACAGACAGCGGGUGCUAACGUCCGUUGUCAAAAGGGAAACAACCCAGACCGUCAGCUAAGGUCCCCAAGUCAUAGCUAAGUGGGAAACGAUGUGGAAAGGCUUAGACAGCUAGGAGGUUGGCUUAGAAGCAGCCACCCUUUAAAGAAAGCGUAAUAGCUCACUAGUCGAGUCGGUCUGCGCGGAAGAUGUAACGGGGCUAAGCUAUGCACCGAAGCUACGGGUUCACGCUUAUGCGUGAGCGGUAGAGGAGCGUUCUGUAAGCCUGCGAAGGUGUGUCGGGAGGCAUGCUGGAGGUAUCAGAAGUGCGAAUGCUGACAUGAGUAACGUUAAUGGGGGUGAAAAACCUCCACGCCGGAAGACCAAGGGUUCCUGUCCAACGUUAAUCGGGGCAGGGUGAGUCGGCUCCUAAGGCGAGGGCGAAAGCCGUAGUCGAUGGGAAACAGAUUAAUAUUUCUGUACUUCUAUGCAAUGCGAUGGGGGGACGGAGAAGGCUAGGCAGGCAUGGCGUUGGUUGUCCAUGUGAAAGUGCGUAGGGAGAGUGCUUAGGUAAAUCCGGGCGCUUAAUUCCGAGACACGAGACGAGUGACUACGGUCACGAAGCUGUUGAUGCCACGCUUCCAGGAAAAGCCUCUAAGCUUCAGUUGCAUAGGAACCGUACCCCAAACCAACACUGGUGGUCAGGUAGAGAAUACUAAGGCGCUUGAGAGAACUCGGGUGAAGGAACUAGGCAAAAUAGUACCGUAACUUCGGGAGAAGGUACGCUCUUGUUUGUGAAGGACUUGCUCCGUAAGCAGACGAGAGUCGCAGUGACCAGAUGGCUGGGACUGUUUAUCAAAAACACAGCACUGUGCAAACUCGAAAGAGGACGUAUACGGUGUGACACCUGCCCGGUGCCGGAAGGUUAAUUGAUGGGGUUAGCCGUAAGGUGAAGCUCUUGAUCGAAGCCCCGGUAAACGGCGGCCGUAACUAUAACGGUCCUAAGGUAGCGAAAUUCCUUGUCGGGUAAGUUCCGACCUGCACGAAUGGUGUAACCAUGGCCAUGCUGUCUCCAUCCGAGACUCAGUGAAAUUGAAAUCGCUGUGAAGAUGCAGUGUACCCGCGGCUAGACGGAAAGACCCCGUGAACCUUUACUACAGCUUGACACUGAACAUUGAGCCUACUUGUGUAGGAUAGGUGGGAGGCUAUGAAACCCGGACGCCAGUUCGGGUGGAGCCAACCUUGAAAUACCACCCUGGUAUGUUUGAUGUUCUAACUUAGACCCGUUAUCCGGGUUGAGGACAGUGUCUGGUGGGUAGUUUGACUGGGGCGGUCUCCUCCUAAAGCGUAACGGAGGAGCACGAAGGUUGGCUAAUCCUGGUCGGACAUCAGGAGGUUAGUGCAAUGGCAUAAGCCAGCUUAACUGCGAGACAGACACGUCGAGCAGGUACGAAAGUAGGUCAUAGUGAUCCGGUGGUUCUGAAUGGAAGGGCCAUCGCUCAACGGAUAAAAGGUACUCCGGGGAUAACAGGCUGAUACCGCCCAAGAGUUCAUAUCGACGGCGGUGUUUGGCACCUCGAUGUCGGCUCAUCACAUCCUGGGGCUGAAGUCGGUCCCAAGGGUAUGGCUGUUCGCCAUUUAAAGUGGUACGCGAGCUGGGUUCAGAACGUCGUGAGACAGUUCGGUCCCUAUCUGCCGUGGGCGUUGGAUGAUUGAAGGGAGUUGCUCCUAGUACGAGAGGACCGGAGUGAACGAACCUCUGGUGUUCGGGUUGUCACGCCAGUGGCACUGCCCGGUAGCUAAGUUCGGAAUCGAUAACCGCUGAAAGCAUCUAAGCGGGAAGCGAGCCCUGAGAUGAGUCAUCCCUGAGACUUCGAGUCUCCUAAAGGGUCGUUGAAGACUACGACGUUGAUAGGCUGGGUGUGUAAGCGUAGCGAUACGUUGAGCUAACCAGUACUAAUUGCCCGUGCGGCUUAACCAUACAACACCCAAAGGGUUUUGUGGGACGCCAAAGUAAGGCGAGAAACUCAAA
This 2950-nucleotide ribosomal RNA is filed under the name Gallaecimonas pentaromativorans. Its description in RNAcentral is "bacterial LSU rRNA". It matches the Rfam family "Bacterial large subunit ribosomal RNA". The record is from RNAcentral. Lineage: Bacteria; Pseudomonadati; Pseudomonadota; Gammaproteobacteria; Enterobacterales; Gallaecimonadaceae.